This 1372-nucleotide ribosomal RNA is filed under the name uncultured bacterium. RNAcentral describes it as "bacterial SSU rRNA". It matches the Rfam family "Bacterial small subunit ribosomal RNA", at positions 28 to 1381 of the family's 1533-position model. The record is from RNAcentral.
GAUGAACGCUGGCGGCGUGCCUAAUACAUGCAAGUCGAGCGAACGGACGAGAAGCUUGCUUCUCUGAUGUUAGCGGCGGACGGGUGAGUAACACGUGGAUAACCUACCUAUAAGACUGGGAUAACUUCGGGAAACCGGAGCUAAUACCGGAUAAUAUUUUGAACCGCAUGGUUCAAAAGUGAAAGACGGUCUUGCUGUCACUUAUAGAUGGAUCCGCGCUGCAUUAGCUAGUUGGUAAGGUAACGGCUUACCAAGGCAACGAUGCAUAGCCGACCUGAGAGGGUGAUCGGCCACACUGGAACUGAGACACGGUCCAGACUCCUACGGGAGGCAGCAGUAGGGAAUCUUCCGCAAUGGGCGAAAGCCUGACGGAGCAACGCCGCGUGAGUGAUGAAGGUCUUCGGAUCGUAAAACUCUGUUAUUAGGGAAGAACAUAUGUGUAAGUAACUGUGCACAUCUUGACGGUACCUAAUCAGAAAGCCACGGCUAACUACGUGCCAGCAGCCGCGGUAAUACGUAGGUGGCAAGCGUUAUCCGGAAUUAUUGGGCGUAAAGCGCGCGUAGGCGGUUUUUUAAGUCUGAUGUGAAAGCCCACGGCUCAACCGUGGAGGGUCAUUGGAAACUGGAAAACUUGAGUGCAGAAGAGGAAAGUGGAAUUCCAUGUGUAGCGGUGAAAUGCGCAGAGAUAUGGAGGAACACCAGUGGCGAAGGCGACUUUCUGGUCUGUAACUGACGCUGAUGUGCGAAAGCGUGGGGAUCAAACAGGAUUAGAUACCCUGGUAGUCCACGCCGUAAACGAUGAGUGCUAAGUGUUAGGGGGUUUCCGCCCCUUAGUGCUGCAGCUAACGCAUUAAGCACUCCGCCUGGGGAGUACGACCGCAAGGUUGAAACUCAAAGGAAUUGACGGGGACCCGCACAAGCGGUGGAGCAUGUGGUUUAAUUCGAAGCAACGCGAAGAACCUUACCAAAUCUUGACAUCCUUUGACAACUCUAGAGAUAGAGCCUUCCCCUUCGGGGGACAAAGUGACAGGUGAUGCAUGGUUGUCGUCAGCUCGUGUCGUGAGAUGUUGGGUUAAGUCCCGCAACGAGCGCAACCCUUAAGCUUAGUUGCCAUCAUUAAGUUGGGCACUCUAAGUUGACUGCCGGUGACAAACCGGAGGAAGGUGGGGAUGACGUCAAAUCAUCAUGCCCCUUAUGAUUUGGGCUACACACGUGCUACAAUGGACAAUACAAAGGGCAGCGAAACCGCGAGGUCAAGCAAAUCCCAUAAAGUUGUUCUCAGUUCGGAUUGUAGUCUGCAACUCGACUACAUGAAGCUGGAAUCGCUAGUAAUCGUAGAUCAGCAUGCUACGGUGAAUACGUUCCCGGGUCU